CACGUAGGUUGUUACAUAAGUGGAUUUUGAAAUUUCCGGGCUUAACCUGGAGGGGUGAGUUUAAACUGUGUAACUAGAGUCCAUGAGAGGGUAGAGGAAUUUCCGGUGUAGCGGUGAAAUGCGUAGAUAUCGGAAGGAAGGCCGGUGGCGAAGGCGUCUACCUGGCAUGGUACAGACACUGAGGUGCGAAAGCGUGGGUAGCGAACA
RNAcentral lists this ribosomal RNA (207 nucleotides) under uncultured bacterium. RNAcentral's name for it is "partial 16S ribosomal RNA". It matches the Rfam family "Bacterial small subunit ribosomal RNA", at positions 568 to 774 of the family's 1533-position model. The record is from RNAcentral.